Molecule: long non-coding RNA, 11941 nt
Organism: Cavia porcellus (domestic guinea pig)
Lineage: Eukaryota; Metazoa; Chordata; Mammalia; Rodentia; Caviidae
Exons: 5
Source: RefSeq, a predicted model, not a curated record
GAUGGGUUCCCCAAUAAAAGAAAACUGCAUAAAAGUUACUUAAAAAGGAAGCAAAACUACCUCCUGAGAAAAAAACGUUAAGUACUGAAAGCAGAGUUUUUGUGACCAAGCAUUGUCGUGAGCACGCUCCCCGCACUCUGUCCUGUUCUAAGGACAGUUCUUUGAUGUAGGGGCUACAGUUCAAGGGCAGGGAACUUGGGUGCUUUGCUUAAUGGAAGGCAUUUCUUAAAAAACAGGGAGCUAAAUGUGAAUCAUAAAUCCAGAGCUCUACACAGGAUGGUGAGGUUGGCGCCAUCUUCACGGGUAGGAAAGCCUGCAACCAAACAGUACAGACCUGUAACAUAGUUGCAUUCAUCAGUAUGGAGAUUAUGGUAAGGUCCCCAAAAGAGGUGACAGUGAAGUGGGGGUGGAAGAGAUCAAAGAGCGGGGAAGAUGCAAGCCAUGAGGGAUCCAGGAAAGGAGAAGCCAGUCUACACUUCACAUAAGCCAGCAAAAACUAUUCUGGGUCUGGGAAGAGAACAAGAAAUAGCUAAUCUGCUUUUACUGUAAGCAGUGCUAUUCAGGGCCCAGGAAGACAGAAGCUAGGCCACCACACCCAGGAGUCAGCAGGACCCAAUUUGGCCUUUGUGUAAGCCACUCAGCCAUGUGGGGCCCAGAAAAAGAGAACCCAGUUUGCCCCUCCUGUGAGCCCACUGGUGUGAGAAUCCAGGUACGUCCCCACUCACCCUCCAGAAACAACCUUUGGUUCAGGAGGACAGGCUGAGUUAAUAGAAACCCAGGUACAAAACCAACUAAAUGCUUGUGUUGUUUAGUUGACUUUGCAGGCCUGAGGGCCAUAGUCUAAGCAUCUGUUAGGAGGAUGACAGCACGCAGCAUAGCAAAUACGGGGGAAUUUCCUUCUGUCCUGUGUUUGAAAUCCAAUAGUGCUUUCACCGGUUAGUUUUUUCCCAAUUUAUUACUUUGUUUUAUUGAAUGUUCUAUUUUGAUUGGUUUAUUUCUGGUUUGUUUUUUUGCUUUUACUUUUUUUUUUUAAUCGGUUACAGGGAUCGAACUCACGACCGCCUGCUUGCAAGGCAGGUAUUUAUGCCACUGAGCUAAAUCCCCAGCCCCCAUUUGCUUUUACUAUGUCUGAUGCACAGCUAUUGUGAAGAUAACAAGUGUUAUUAAAGUAGCCAUUGUAGGUUUCCUAUUAUACUGUGUUUUGAAGGUUUGUACCACUUUUACUGUUUCGUUUCGAUUGGCUUUAUUUGUUAUAUUUUAUUCUCUUUAAAAUAAAGAAUACAUUUAAAAACAACAAAGAGUGGGAAAGAGAUGAAGGUCAUGAGCACUCAGGGGCUGGAAGAAAGGAAGUGCAAGCACCCUUCCUUCCACAGGCCCUGGGCCUUCCUGGCUCCUGCUGGCCCCUAGCAGGAGGCUCUUAUCCCUGAGAUCUUUCUCAUGGGCACUAGUGCUCAGCAGACCUGUGUUUUCAGGGCCAAAACACAGAACCCACCUUUCCCAUCUGCUUUAUGCAGUAAGAGGACAACUAAUGUGUGUUCGGGGAAAGCGAAUGCCAGUGAUUUCCAGUGCUCCUACCAACAGACUUUGUAAAGAUGGCCUGCUGUGCUUGAGAAAAUCAGAAUAUUCUCUUGCACAUCACUGAUAUAAACAAAUCUCCUGCUAUGAGGCCCAACCUCCAGCUUCCCACAGAGCUAGGAUAAUGACCCCAUCUUCCAACCAGGCUUCCUGGAUCUCACACUCCAAUUAAGAAGCUCCUUCCAUGUACACUGUGGCAUCUGUGUUCUUGUCCCACUGAGGAAAGGUCAUGAGCUGCCAAAGAGAUGAAACUCACAGUGGAACUCACUUAGCCGGCUUUCUUCCCAGUGUGUCCCUGGGCACUCCUCACCCCAGGAACUAACCACAGCCCAUGGAGGGAUCAAAAUACUUGGAGUCGUUUUACGUAGGUCUCCCUGCCUUUGCACAGAGCUAAGUGGAGUUUGCCUCCAUGACUUUCUUCUUCUAAGUCUCCAGAGCUGCCCAUUCUAACUGAUAACUUUAGUAUAUUCAGUCUGACUACAUCUGGGCACAGCAGCAAGAUUAGCACUUACAGCACACAUUGGAAAUUACUAAGCUCUGCUAUCUAUAAUGUAAGUCUGAUGUUACAUGAAAGAGAGAAGGCAGGUUAAGAGCAAUGAAUGUAGACGUUUUUGUGCUUAGGAAAAUUUGAGCCAGGCUGGUGUGGGGUCCUGAGCUACAGCUGUGCCCAUGCCUCCUGAUUCUCUUCUCACUUUCUCUCCCAAGUUUCCCACAAUCAAUUACAUGGACAUUGGAUCCUGUCUCAGCAUCAGCGUUUUGGAGGGUCUGAAUCUGAGCAAACAUAGACUCCAAGGCAGAAGCAGGGUCUCAGGGAGAAAAGGCAAACAGAACAACACAGGGGACAGGGGACAGGGGACAGUAGCUUGGAGUAGAGUAGGGACAACAGGGGUGGAGACAAAUCAAAUUAUGCCUUUCUGUCAAAGACAGAAUGUCAAGAAAAAACUACAAACCCAUAGAAAGAAAGAACCUAGGCACUUAACAGCUCAGGGUGAAAGCCCCAUGUUCAAUCCUUAACACCAUGAUAAAGGAAGAGAACAGUUACUAGGCUGGCUGCUAGAUGAGUGCUAAGAGAGGAAGUGGCCACCCAAGAUGCCUCCAUGGUUUUAGGACUAAGCAACUGGAAAGGUGGAGUCUCCUGCACCUGACACGCUAAAGCCUGAGAGGGGAACACGUUCUAGGAGUGACACUAAAGGCUGAAUUCGGGAUCUAGAAGGCUGGAGAUACUAUUAGACAUGCAAAGGAAAUGUAACAGAGACUACUCAUUUCCUGAGCCUGGAUUUCACAAAAGGCUAUUGGUUGAAGACACAACUUCCACAGUUGCUGUGUAGCUGGUAUUGGAUGCCAAAGAACUGAAGGUGAUCACUAUGGGGUAAGAGAAAGAUCAUCAUAGGGAUGAUCUAGGAUCUGGAUCCUGGUACAUACUAGAUUUGACAGGUGAGGAGGAUUUAUCAGGUAACAAUGGAGGUCAGGCAAAUGCAAGCUUGUCAUCAGUGCCUGAUGAAGUUCACAUUUUAACGGAGUUUGGCCCCUUUUGAGAGUAAAUACUGUUUGACUCAAACUCUGUUUUAUGUGACUAUUUUAUUUUGUUUUUAUUUUUGAGAUAUGGUCUUGAUAAGCAGUUCAGGCUCUUGAACCCAGGCUGCCCUCAUACUCAGGGGGAUCCUCCUGCCUCAGUCUCUGGAGCACUGGGAUUACAUGUGUACAUCACCAUGCCUGGCUCUUACGUGAUAUCAAAGGAGCUGUACCAUGAGAUUUUCCUUACUAGAGGUCCUCACAUCUCUCUCUACGCUUUUACUCCUCCUGUUUCCCUUCCUCCCAGACCCUCCUGUCCCAGCUCCCUGGGGUGGCCAAGAACAGCAGCAGUCUGCAGCUUUAAUGGCACUCCACCCAUCCCCCACUCCCUGGAGAAGGCAUCACUAGGUCCCUUAUGACGUCACAGUUCCACUGGGCCAAUGGGAUGGGAGGUUUGAGGCCACGCCCUAUUGUGUUGUGUUUGGCUCCGCCCUGGUUACCCCUCUUGGGGGCAGGUUGUGGAGUUCAGUGGAGGGUGUUGGAGGAAGUUUCCCUGUGAUGGAAGGGAUUGUCAUGAAGUGGUCUCAUCCCUUUCCCCCUCCCUGUGUUGGAAUACCUGAAGAAAUCAGAAAGCAGAAAUUGGCUGCAGCCAAGAAAAAGCUAAGACAAUUUCAAAAACAGAAGAAGUCUGACCACUCUCCAGUGGACAAAAGAGCAAGUUUUUAAAAAGCAUAAAACCUAAGCCUGCCAGUGGAGGAGAAUAUCACCCCCAUGAAGCUGUGCAUGAGUUGAAGGAGGUUCGGGACAAGAAUGCUGAGAAGCUUCCUGUAAAGUUGAGCGAACUGAAGAACUGCAUGGAGAGAAGAGAACACCAAUAUAGUGACCACCUGAGCUCAGAGCAGCUGAGAAACCAUGAGUGGACUCUGAAGCUGGGCCAGCUACAGGAGGACAUCUUGGAACUCAAGUCAGUGGUGGUGCUGAAGAGCCAGGAGGCCCAGGUGCUGCAGCUGCAGAGAGACCAGCUGCUGGGCACCCUGUGCCAGGGCACUGAGGCCUGGUUACAGCUGGUCUCUGAAAAGCAGGCUCUUCAGUGGAGUUCUCCCAACUAGUAAUGCAGCUGCAGGAGAAACACGAACAAGAAAACAAGGCCCUGGAGAACAUCUUCCAAGACCUGAAGAAGACCCAGGUGUUUGAGGCUGCUGAGGCUGGGCCCCUGCCUGGGAGGACCUGGCUGCCUCUGACUUGUCACUGUCCAUCCUCACCUACAGGAAGUGGUGCAAUCCUCCAGGCUGCAGAAACAGCAAUCAGCCCCGGGCAGAGAUCUGGCACUGCCCCGGGAAGCUGAGUGGAGGUGUCAGUGCUGGAUGGGCUGAGGAGCACUCUGAGAAAGAGAGUGGAGGGGGAAGAGAUGGCAGAGGGCUGCUCAUUCUCUCCCAGAGGGUGGUGGGCCAGGGGGACCUGGUGAGGUGGGUGGAGGGGACCCGGGACUGCUCUGCCUCCCUUUUGGGGCUUACUGGGGACCCUCCUGACUGAUUGAUCACAAUUGGAAAUGAAGGGGAUGUGGAGGAAAGGAACACGAAGAGCCCUCAGACCAACAGCACCACUCCUGAGGAUGUGGGCAGCUCAGAGGCCGAGGUGAGCUGGGCUCUGCUUUGAGCCUGGCCUGGGUCUCCUUCCCUGCCUCUCCCUCUGAGGUCCUUUUGAACAUCUCAAUACUUUGGAUUUUCCCAUCCCCUCAUUUCCCUGGACCUUCUCUGGAAGCAGUGGUCACACCCCAUCCCCUAGGAGCAACAGGUGCCAGUGGCAGAAGGGAGGCUCCUUUGUACCCCAUGCAACUGUCAUCUGGAUAGCUCCCCCCACAGAAUCACACCCUGCCUCCACAGAUGGUAUUUGUCAACAGAGGUCCCACCGCUGUGCAGAAAUAGUGGGCUCAGCCAGCCAGCCAUCAGAGAAUGCAGAGGCAGCCAUGCCCGAGCAUAACCUAGUGGAAAUCCCGACCCAGGGCAAGCCUAAGGAGGAGGCUUCAGUACCCAGGAGCAGUGGUGACCAUGUGGCCACAGUGCAAGUGCAGGAGAGGCUGUUCCACCCGGCUGAGAAGGGUGGGCAGGACAGGUUGCCACAGAGCCCUGACUCUGUGCUCUGCCUCCUAUUUCGUGCAGGCCUUGCAGGGCCAGGCAGGACUGAAGAGAGUGUGCAGGAGCUGCCAUGUCAGGGCCUGCUGCUCUGUGGUGAUUCCAGCACCGCUGGUGAGCUGGGCCAGGGCCCCUGCAGCAGGGGCACUAAGGUUUGGGAUUUGGGGAGGCCUGCAAGUGACCUGUGACUAUUGUUCUCCUUUGCACAGCCGAGCACCCUGACAUCUGCCCCAAACAGGGGCCAGUCCUUAAAAAGAGGAAUUAUGAGGAGGAGGACACACGAAGGAGGAGGUGGAUGAACCAAUGGAAGAGGAGGAAGAGCAGGAGAAUCAGGAGGAAGAGGAGAAGUAUGAACAAGUGGAGGAGGAGGAGGAGGAGGAAGAAGUGGUGGAGGAGGAGGAGCGUUGUAAGCAGGAGGAGGAGGAUCAGUGAGUGGAGGAGGUGGAUGAACAAGUAGAGGAGCAGGAAGAGGCAGAGGAAAAGGAGGAGCAGCAGCCAGAAGGGCAGGAGGAGGAAGCGGACAUGGAGGAGGAGCAGGAGCUGGAGGAGCAGGAGGAGGAGGAAGAGGAAAAGGAGGAAGAGAUGGAGGCAGAGGAUCAGCAGCAGGAGGAGGAGGAACAUAUACACCAGCUGUUCCCAGUGAAGGGAGAGGAGAAGGUAGGUCUGGAUGUCUCCUUAGGCUGGGUCAGGGUGGGCCCUGAGCCUCUGUCCCUCUUGGUAAAAUAAAGCUGCUUGUGCUGCAGGAGGUGGUUCUGAUCCUGAAAACAGAUUGCAGGUCCGGUCAGGAUGAGUUUAAGGGCACUGCACAGAGCCGUGGCGAGGAGCCCACUGUGGGAUCCCCACCCACCAAGCACGCUGCAGCCUCAGAUGAGGAGUGCGGUCCUGGGAGGGAUGGGCAGGGGCAGGCAUGGCAAGGGGCACACACUCAGUGCCUGCUGCUCUCUCCCCAAAGAUCCUGCAGAGGGAAGCCCUGCACACACUGAGCAGCCUCCAGCUGAAGAGGCUGUGGCCUGGUGCCCCCCAGAACCCCAGCUGCAUGAGAGUGAGAGUCUGCACAGCGGACUGGCUUGGGCCUUCACCCCGAGUACAGUGGUUUCUGCUUUGGAACACGCUGAGGAGGAGGAAACCACAGGACCCAGUCUAAUCUAAAGAGUUUCACCAGCAGGUCCUGGGGAAGUGGGGCCGGGGCUGUGUGCCCUCUUUCCCCAAUUCAGUCCCUGCCUCCGCAUCCCUCUUCUCCUGACUUAUUUGCUCUGAUGUCUAGAGGAGCAAGAAAAACUCUACAAAUUUAUUUCUUCCUAAAUAUAUUUUAAUUCCAAGGAUUCUUUAAAAUAUCAAAAAAUGUUAAUUAAUUUGCAUAAAAAGGAAAAACCCCACAGAGAUAUUUAAUUAAAAGUAUUAAAAUUUUAAAAUCUUUUUUAUUUUAAAGAGUAAAACAUGACAAAAUGAAACUGAGUUUCCGAACAGGAUAGUAGGACAGCGACAAUACUUGAUACCCUGCAUGCUGUUGUCUUCCAGGUAGCUAUUCGGAGUACAGGAUGUAGGCAUCCUAUAGCAUCUAAACAAUGUUAGCACAAAACUUUGCUUUCAAGGAACAAAUCAAAGCUAGCUGUGCAAUUAUCUUCACUCUAAUUUUUUCUUUUUUCCCUUUCUUUUUUCCUCUAUCACAGUUUGAACUUGAAAAGCUCAUUUAUGGUUCUGAAGGACAGAGGGAGGAGAUGGGAUGGGGUCCUGAUGCCCUGGUCGUGAUUAUCCCCUUUAUGCUGAUUUUCAUUUGGUUGUGAAUCACUGGAUUCCAUCAGCUUCCUGGCCCAGCAGGUUCCUGGGAUUGAAGAGCAAGGAUCAGAUGAGGAGCAGGAAGCAGAUGCUGCCGGCAGAGGGCGCACAUCAGGCUGUGCAGGGUCCCAAGUCAGAGCUGGUCCAGCAGGCCUGGAUGGCAUCUCCUUACCUUGUCACCUGGAUGCUUCUAGGGCAUAGUGAGGGGACUGUGUGGAGGCUCCCCAGGCAUCCCGUCUUAAUGGGCUGUGGACUGGAGCCUGAGAUCCAGUGGGGAAGGACAGACUCAGGGGGCUGCCCUGCCCUGCAGUGCACCAUUUCCAUUUCAUGCCCUGGUUCUGGUGCUGUCUGCACAUGGGGGCCUGUUCCUUCUGGUUAGCUCAGCCUAUUGUUGGCUGCUGCCCCUCUUCCUUGAGGUUCAGUUUGUGACCCUGCUCCUUAGUGGUAAGAAUGGUUUCUUUGUUGUUUUUUGAUAAGAAUACUCUAUGGGAAUUCCAUAGCCCUGGAAUGCCUGUGACAUAUCAACUUUAGUCUGAGAAACUCAAUUCAUUCUCAUGAGACAGACAUGAGUCCUUGGGAACAAGGUGGGGGUGAUACCUUUUAACGUGAAGUCCCCCUCAGAAGUCUCCUCUGUUUGGAAGUUGAUUGGAUGGGAAGGGCAGCAUACUCUACAGAGGACUUGUCCACUGAUGAGUUCAGGGGGUAGAUGUGCUGUCAGGGUGUGAGGCUGCUGGGAACGGGGUUGCUGACCACUGUGGCCUGAGCACCUUUCCCUUGGCCGUGUCCCUCUUCCCUCCUGUUUUUGCCUUGGAGCCAGUCCAUCAGAGACUAGAAGUCUGAGCCCAGACAAACCCCUCCUCCUCUAAACUGCGGGUGUCAAGUAUCUUGUCUCACAGGUGGAAAGUGAGAAAGACAUGAAGGUUUCGGGACCUGUGCAGAGUGCAGACAAGUUCUCUCUGGCCAGAAUGUACCAUGCACAGGAAGUUCCCACCUGAGACCUCCUGAGACUUGGCUCCGCUCUCUGCAGUUUGCCAGCACUCUGGUCAUCUGAGAUCCAAUCAGAAACACCCACUAGACUGUGCUUAUGGCAUUGCAGGGCUUCUCUAGCACACAGCUGUUAACAUCCCCAAAUCCCUCCCUCAAAACUGUCCCAAAUGCAUCUGAACUUCAUGGUCUCAGGCAGUCGCUGUUCGGACUCCACUUCUCUAGUCCCAGUUCUUUGUAUUUGCUCACUGAGAUCAGUAGCUGACACCCACAAUAUAAGAAGGAGACUUUUCCUUGGCUCACAGUUUCAGCAAACUCAGUCCACGUCUGGCUGGCUCUGAAGCAGAUAGAUCGUGGCAGAAGGGCAAAGCUGCUUACUUCAUGGCAUCUGGGAAGCAGAGCAGAUUGAUUAUUCCUGAGAGCGAGUGCCAGGUGUCCAAUAUAGUGUCCUUUGUUACACUUCAGGGACACAUCAAGAGGUGUGCUUUCCUAAGCUGCCUCUCAAUUCUAAAGCUACCACUCACAACCCAUCUUUAGUGUCACCGUAAAAGUCCAGGGGGCUUCUUACUAGAAACAACACAUCUUAGGACACAGAAGAAACCACAAUGCUUAUAGAAACAAGUUCAUGCAUCAGCCUACAAUAAGUGCUCAGCAAACAUGUCCCCCAAAAUCACACUGAAGUUCAACUUUCUGGUCCAGAAAUUUCAAAACCUGAGAUAGCACCAGCUUUCCUUAAGGAAAGGAUUCAAAAGAGUCCCAUAUUCACAGGAAAAUUUAUUCCAAAAUGGAAAAUGUGUCAAUGGUGGGGCUGUGGUAGAUUUGGUGGGGUUAGUGGUAGAGUGGUGGUUGGAGUUGUGGUUAGGGCUGGCACUAGAGCUAGGGUUAGGGAAAAGAUGGUUUGAGGUAGUACUAGUUAGGUUAGGAAAGUAUACAGCUAUAGUUAGUGUUAGUAUUAGGUUUCUGGAGACAGGGCUAGGCUUUGAGUUAGGUGUAAGGUUAGAUUUAGGCAUCAGAAUAGUGCUAGUGCCGGGCUAGGCUUUUGGUUAGGUUUAGGUUUGUGUUAUCUUUCAAAUUAGGCCUAUGAUUAAGGCUAACUCUAGCUUUGGUGUAGGUCUACUUUUGGGAUUUGACUAUGGCUAAUGUGGGAUUUGGGAUUAGAUUUAUCCUUAGGGUGAGAGUUAGGUUUAGGAUUUGGGCCUGUAGUAGAGUUAAAUUAGGGGUAGGCUUACUAUGUGGUUAGUGUUAGAGCUAGAAUUGGGCUAUAGGUGGGCUCAGAGGUGAGCCCAAGGCAGACAGCCCAACUAAGUGGUGUGCCAUGACAGCUCCACGGUAAGAAUGACUAAAUCCAGGGGAACCAAGCUUGCCAGUCUUUGUGGGCUGGCAUCAGCAAGUUCUCCUAAGACUGGUGCCCUGUCACCCUGAGCAGUUACCCUGCUAUAUUUUGGGGUUUCUGGGCAUGGACCCACUCAUCAGCUCUGUGGACCUCGGUGUUGUCGCUAAAAUCUGGGUAGGAAAUGACAGCAGUUUGGGGAAGUUGGAUUUAUUUCUCCCCAGCCAGUUGGAUCCUGGAAGACUCAGGAGACUGUCCUUUCUCUGCGGGCUCCCCAUAGCCGGAGGAGACUCCCAGUCCAUCAUGCACCUUCAUUCCAUGGGCAGUUUCUCUCCCAAGGAGAACACAUGGACUUCCCAAUCUUCUCUGGCCAAGAAAGGUUUGGAGCUACAGCUCAGGCCUGCUUCCCCUCCUGCCCUCAGCUGCCAGUGACCCACCUCAAGGACUGUCCUCCUCGGGUUCCAGCAUGUCACAGUGGUGCUUCAGGUUCAGCUUCUCCUCCAGCAGCACCAGCGCAUACUCCACCACCUAGAUAUUCUAGUUGGUGGUCUCAGCUUCCGGGUCAGCUGAUCAUUCUCGGUCUUGCAGUGAUCCACACUUGGCUUCAGCUCCUCUGUGGCCACCGCUGCUGUGGGGGUGCGGGCCAGGCCGCUGGCUGAGCGUGCAUGGUGCUGGGCUAUGCUGGGACCCGGCUGUGGGGCAUUGUAUUGCCACAUGUGGAAACAUCAGCCCGGGGCUCAGGCUCACAGCCACAGCCGCCACGGGCCCCAGUCCAUGCUGGGCCACCUGCUCUGCAUCACUGGGAUGCUGCAGCUGCAGUCACUGCCCCAACUGAGCUUGUCAUUGCCUGACCUGGAUGGGCCAGCUGGGCGCGGGAGCAGAUGCAGUUGGCGAGGUGCAGGACUGGGGGGUGGGCCAGACAGAAGCAGCAAUGCCAAUGCCCGCCUCUGGCAGCACUGCCUGGCAUAGACCUCAGGGUGUCCACUGCGUCCCCCCUGAGGUGCGAGAUCCUCCCCCGACCACCAUCACUGUGCUAGGCACAGACACCCCUGCCCAGAGUCUCUGGCCACAGUGAGCACCCCAACUCAGAAAGAAACACCUUCCCCACAAAAAGUGAUUCAACGCCGCGGGGUCCUGAUCCCAGCCAGCACGGACACUGUCUCUGAAGCCUUCCACACAAGCCCUCACCUCCAAAGUCUGGGUUGUUCACCUGCUCCUCUCUCAGAGUGGAACUUCAGUGUCUCCCCAAGACAGGCUUCCUCACAAGCUGCCUGUGCUGCCUCCCCCAGGCUUGGAUGAGCCCAGCUCCUCACAGGAUCCUUGGCUGCUCCUGAAAAUGUUUCUGUGAUUGGAACUCUGCAUGCGUGGGUGUACCACUAAGCGCUUUAUUGUAUGGGUCCCUAUUAAAAAGAAACUGCAUAAAAGUCCCUAUAAAAGUAACAAAAUCACCCUGUGACAAAAAAAUUAAGUAAUGAGGGCAGAGUUCUGGAGACCAAGCUUUGUCCUGAGCAUGCUCCCUGCAGUCAGUCUGUGCUAUUCUAAGGACAGUUCUUUGAUGUGGGGGCUUCUACUUACAGUUCAUGGGCAGAGAGGUUGGGUGCUUUGCCCAGUGGCAGGCAUUUCUUAAAUGGGGAGCCAAAUGUGAGUCAUAAAUAAAUCCAGAGCUCUACACAGGGUGGUCAGGUUGGUGCCAUCUUCACGCAUAACUCCCGGAAAGCCUGCAACCAAACAGUACAGGUCGUUAAGAUAACUGCAUUCAUCAGUAUGGAGAUUAGGGUAAAGCCCCCCAAAGAGGGGAAAGUGAAGUGGGGGUGGAAAAGAUCAAAGAGCAGGGAAGAUGCAGGCCAUGUGGGAUCCAGGAAAGGAGGAGCCAAUCUGCUCCUCCCAUAAGUCAGCAAAAGCUCUUCUGGGUCUGGGAAGAGAAAAUGAAGCAGCCAAUCUGCUCUUCCUGUAAGCAAUGCAAACCAUUCAGGGCCCAGGAAGACAGAAGCCAGUGCACCCCUCCCAGGAGUCAGCAGGAGCCAAGCUGGGUAUGGGGGAGCACAGCAGGAAGCCAAUUUGCCCUUCCUGUAAGCCACUCAAGCCAUGUGGGGCCCAGAAAAAGAGAAGCCAGUUUGCCCCUCCUGUGAGCCCACUGGUGUGAGAAUCAAGGUACCUGCCCUCCAGAAACAACAGGUUGGUUCUGGAGGACAAGCUGAGUUAAUAGAAACCCAGGUACAAAACCAACUAAAUGCUUGUGUUGUUUGGUUGACUUUGCAGGCCUGAGGCCCAUAGUCUAAGCAUCUGUUAGGAGGAUGACAGCACGCAGCAUAGCAAAUACGGGGAAAUUUCCUUCUGUCCUGUGUUUGAAAUCCAAUAGGGCGUUCACUGGUUAGUUUUUUCCCAAUUAUUACUUUGUUUUAUUGAAUGUUCUAUUUUGAUUGGUUUAUUUGUGGGGUUUUUUUUUUUUUGCUUUUACUUUUUUUUUUUUUAAUUGGCACCAGGGAUCGAACUCAUGACUGCCUGCUUGCAAGGCAGGUGCUUUUGCCACUGAACUAAAUCCCCAGCCCCCAUUUGCUUUUACUAUGUCUGAUGCACAGCUCUUGUGAAGAUAACAAGUGUUAUUAAAGUAGCCAUUGUAGGUUUCCUAUUA